This 468-nucleotide ribosomal RNA is filed under the name uncultured bacterium. RNAcentral's name for it is "partial 16S ribosomal RNA". It matches the Rfam family "Bacterial small subunit ribosomal RNA", at positions 28 to 507 of the family's 1533-position model. The record is from RNAcentral.
GAUGAACGCUGGCGGCGUGCCUAACACAUGCAAGUCGAACGGAAAGGCCCGGCUCUUGUGGGUUUGUCGAUUGGCGCACGGGUGAGAAACACGCGUGGAACCCCUCCCUUUCUUUCGGAUAAAUCCACGAAACUGCGGCUAAUAUCCGAUAGGAUCUCUUGCACCACGGUGGGCGAUGGUAAGUUUCGGCGGUUGGGGAUGGACUCGCGGCUUACCAGCUUGUUGGUGGGGUAGUGGCUUACCACGGCUUUGACGGGUAGCCGGCCUGAGAGGGUGACCGGCCACAUUGGGACUGAGAUACGGCCCAGACUCCUACGGGAGGCAACAGUGGGGAAUAUUGCACAAUGGGCGGAAGCCUGAUGCAGCAACGCCGCGUGCGGAAUGACGGCCUUCGGGUUAUAAACCGCUUUCGCCUGUGACGAAGCGUGAGUGACGGUAAUGGGUAAAGAAGCACCGGCUAACUACGUG